This is a long non-coding RNA of Calidris pugnax (ruff), 1429 nucleotides long. RefSeq lists it as uncharacterized. The record is from RefSeq and is a predicted model, not a curated record. Lineage: Eukaryota; Metazoa; Chordata; Aves; Charadriiformes; Scolopacidae. The transcript has 4 exons.
UCAUCUAGUCCAACCCCCUGCCAAAGCAGGGCCACCCAGAGCAGGUCCCACAGGAACGUGUCCAGGUCCUUAUAAACGUCCUGACCUCCCUGCUUUGGCCUGCAAAUGGAGAAAAGUGCUUACAGAUUUGCAAGCUCAUAAGAACAUAACAAAGAAAUGGAAACAUGAAGAAGAAAGAUGCAACGCAGCUGGUGGUGGGUCUGCUCCUUAGUGGCUGUUCUUCACUCCCCCCACUAGAUAGUGGUGCACGUUGAAAAGAGACCUCCAAGUCUUCUCUCCCCUGGUGGAACAUCAGCCUCUCCUCCUGCACCAGAUGUUUGAGUCCCUUCUCCAUCUUCCUGGGCUGUCUCAGGACCUGGGGAGCAAGUGCAAGAGAACAGGGACACACCAUCCCAGAUGAGGUCGGAUCAGCACUGAAUAGAGGGUUCAGAAGAUUUGACUACAGCUUCUAAACCAGCACGCGUGGCAAUACUUUAAAAGAAGGGAAGACAAUACUUGAGGAAACUACAGGUGACUCACAGAGAGACGGGGAAGCUCAAGCCAUAGAUGUGAGAAAUUGAAAACGUGACUAAGAAACGCCGCCAUCACGAAACUCUGAGAUGAAAACACCAAGAUUAACACAGCACGUAUACAAGCUCACUCUAGCUUCACAGGGACUGGACGUGCCAGCAUCACAUUUCCAAACAUUCCCAAUUCUGAGGAAGAAACUGCAAACGUUUGCUACUCAAAAAAUAACGUAUGUAUGUAACUAAGGGAGAUUCGGAAAGAAAGGAAGAAAAAAAAGGAACUCACUCCCUUCAUAGGACUUAAAAAUUCAGCCAGGAAGGCAGCUAUGAAAUAUUCUAGCCUUGUCAUACAUUCUACAGACACAUGUAACAACAUAAGAACUUUAUGUAGGAAGAGAACAUAACAAGCAUUAUAAUGGAGCAUGUUCCAGAGUAUCUCUUCUUUUUGGAAGUACCACACCAACACGCACAAAGGACGGCAUUCCCAAAUCAGGCCAGCGUCAAAAUAUUAGUUUAACUUAAAAUACAAGUUAAAAUAUUAUUUAAUAAUAACAUAACCAGUUAGAAUAAUAUUUAAUAAUUACAGCCUUCUUUGGCAUGCUUAUCAGGAACAUCGCGCAUCACUUCGGAAAGCUGUUUUCCAGAAGAACUGCGGUUUGAUUUUGGCUGUACCAUUUUUUUGGGUGUAAACCCAGUCAGGAGAGGCACACAUCCAAACAAUUUUGUCCCAAACACGGCGCAGUAUCAAGAAUAAGGUGCGAUUUUUAUUUCUCAGACAAAACACCUGUUGGCCUCUUUGGAGUUUCACUAGGGUCAGAUUUCAAACCACAGAAACUUUUACCAAUUUCAAGAUUCAUUCCCUUUCCCUCCGUAGAAUUAAAUAAGUGACAGCUUUUUUGUAUCACUGAGGAUGUUAAGCAUAU